Molecule: long non-coding RNA, 3158 nt
Filed under: Capra hircus (goat)
Lineage: Eukaryota; Metazoa; Chordata; Mammalia; Artiodactyla; Bovidae
Description: lncRNA (ENSCHIG00000000659.1)
Source: RNAcentral
GGAACCUUUCUGAAGGCGGUGCAGUGAGGCAGAGGAAAGGGAAGCUGGGUUCUGAGCUCAGCCCUGUGCAGGAGUUGUACACAGUGCCUUUUGGAUCCAGAGCCUCCCGUGCCAGGAAUCCACAGUGUUUCUCUGCAGGUCUCCCACGAGCCCACAUCACCCAAGGACAGUGAGCCUCAGGGAGGGGAAGAACUCUCAGCUGCAUGCCUGCUGAAUCUCGCUACUCCUGCACCUUCUGAUGAAGGGUCCCCAUCCUUGUCACCUUCCAGCCUUCCUCAGCUCUAAUAGGAUCCCUGAGGCUGGCUGUCCUGGAGGAGGCCAAGCUGCCUCAGCUGCCAGGCUGUGUCCAGCCCUGGGGCUCUCUUGGCCCUCCCCUAUCUUCACUCCCCCUCCAGCCCAUCAGUGAUCCAUCCCAGACAGGACAGUCUCAACCACUCCACAUCUGACUCCAGGAGAAGGCGACCUCAUGGUUUUUCCAGAGGGAACAUAUGGCAAUGAGCUUCUAGUGGUCAUGAUGGAUUCUGAAGCGUGAAGAUGAGGCUCCCGGGAGCCCCAGAGCCUUAUGUGGCAGGGGAAGAGUGUGACCCCAGGUCACCUUCCCUUUCAGGAAGCUGAGCCCCUCCGGAUGCCUCAGAAAGAGAAACCAGCACUUCCCCACAUGGCUCUUCAGUGGCCGCCACCCUGGACAUCGGAGCUGUGGCUUCUCCUGCUGGAUGGAUGCCCACAGCCCUGGAGAGAGCACGGAUGUGAGGACUUGAAAGGCUCCCACUUAUCACCGAGGAAGCAGGAGGAGGACAAGAGCCCCUCUGCCUCUGGAGAGAGAGACCCGGAACCUGGUGCUCCAACCAAAUGCUGUAGCUGGGACCAUCCAUCUUGGAGAAGCGGUCCAGGCCAACUGGAAAGUGUCCAGAGGUGCCACAGCCACGCUGAGUCCAAGGAAACAGUGCCGAGCAUCCAGAGUCACAGGGGCAGCAGCCAAGAAGAUGGUUCCCGAGGUUCACCUUUGCCUGGCCUCGUUUCCCACUGCGCCCUGGUUUGUGCCUUCUGCUCACACUGGAUGCUGCCUUGCCUUUCAGUAAGUGACUUUUCUGCUUAAGUGCCUAGAGUCACUUCCAGAUCUGGACAACUGAAAUCUCUGACUCACUCAGCUGAGAAUAAUCAUCUAUUAACACCUUAGCUCUUUUAUGAUGUUCUGUCUUGCCAGCUAUUAUAUGAAGCAAAAGGAACUCCAGGACAGGGACACUCUGAUGGACUCUGCAGUGGAUGUGAGAGGUUCAGAACUCACUUCCAUCUAGAAGUCAAGAGUUUUAGUGUAAGAUGCUGGGUGGCUAGAGGUUGUAGAGAAACUGUCACCUCUUUUCCAAAUCUGCUGAGGGAUGACCCUGAAAAAUAGGUCAGUGUUUCACAGUGAUCUGUGCUGAUUACAGCACUGUGUCUGGAAGGAGGUGAUACAUUUUUCCCUAGAACUCCAGAUGGAGAAAUGGGCUCCACCAGCCCCUGCUGUUUCAUUCUGGGCUGGAAUUCUGGUUGAAGCUCUCAGAGCAGAGAUUAACAGGGUGCUAUUGGGGAGUCAAGCUGCUGUGAGUUCCUGUCUGUAGGAACUGGGCUGUGUGUGCUCCCCCAUGUGGAAGAGCUCUGCUCCUCCAGGCAGUUCUGCCAGCACCAGAGCUGAGGUGUCUGUCAGCCUGGUCUUAGGUCCACAGCUCAGCGAGACCAGUCUCAAAAUGCCACAGCCCUGGGCUUCUCCCAUGGGUUCUUUCACCUUUUAAACCAAGAUGAAGCAAGAGUCUUUGCUUGCUGGUCAGAACACCCACUGCCCUUCUAGCCUCAUGCAGGAAGUUGCUUAAUGAACUCAAAAAUAAUUAAUCACGGAGAGGAGAUUUCCCACACUGAGUCUGUGGUUUCCUGCCCUUCAGAACGGGUUUCCUGCCCUCCCUUCCAGUGCCUCUCACUGCCGGUGUAUCAUCCUGAGCUCAGAUACCUGCUUUCCCUCUCCACCAACUCAAUCCUUAUUUUUGCCCUACUUUAUCUUCCUUUUACUUUCCUCUGCAAACUUAUUUUCUCCCAUACCCAUACCCUUGUGCCCAUUAAUGUUUGCUUUCUGGAAAUAGUUCCACUUCAAGAGAGUUUUGUGGCAUCCUUGGCUCUCUCUCCUGCUGAACUAGACGGAGCAUAUGUGUAUCUUUGGCCCUCACCCCACUUCUUCCCAAUCUGAUACUGUUAGGGUCAAAUUGUGUCUCCCUGAGGAAUAUGUUGAAGUCCUAAACCACAGUACCUCAAAAUGAAAGAUAUUUGGAAAUAGGGUCAUUGCAGAACUAAUUAGUUAAGAUGAGGCUGUAAUGAAGUAGGACGAGCCCCUACUUAUAAGGACUCAAUCCAAUUUGACUAGUGUUCUUAUAAGAUGACCACCAUGUGAAAACAUAGGGAGAAUGCCAUUUGACAACAAAGGCAGAUGCUGGAGUCAUACAGGUGUAAGCCAAAUAAUACCCAGAUUGCCAGCAAUCACCUGAAGUUAGGAAGAGGCAAGUGCGGGCAGUUCUCCUACAGCAUGUCCUGCUGACUCCUUGAUUUUGAACUUUCAGACUCCAGAUCUGUUGGACAAUAAAUAUUUGUUGUUCUAAAGCAUCCAGUUUGUGGCAUUGUUGUGGUCGCCCUAGGAAAUGAAUACAAAUGCCAUUGGGAAGAUCCCAGGGACUUGCUUCUAGAGCCUCUUCUGCCACCAACCCUGAACUUCACCAGGCUUCCAGUACUUACCUGAAAACUUCCUUGGGGAAAAUAAAGCUGAUGUUUCCAUAAGUGGCAGGGCUCUCUAGAAAUUUAAAUUCUGUAACACAUAAUAUUUGAGGUGGUUGGUUGACCCUCACUGCCUUAUUAUGUUUCCCUGCCUACUCCAGCUGCUUUUUUCCUGCACAGUGAAUAACCGCCCAGCAUCCUGCAUGAGGCUAUUAUGGGUUAUGUCCAUGGUUUGUUGCCUCCCUUACCCCUGCUGGAUGGUAAGCUCCCUGAGGGCAGGGAUCUGAUUUGUUCACUGGCACAAAGUAGACACUUGAUAAACCUCUGUUGAAUAAAUAAAAACUGAGCCAGGACAUUUCCAACCCGACCUCAUGGAAGAGCUACAAUUCCUCUGCAAGAGGCGAGGUGGGGUGGAGUCAGGGGAG